Molecule: long non-coding RNA, 1381 nt
Filed under: Nicotiana benthamiana
Lineage: Eukaryota; Viridiplantae; Streptophyta; Magnoliopsida; Solanales; Solanaceae
Description: long non-coding RNA (NBEN_LNC015464)
Source: RNAcentral
CCCACUGUGCUGACAAUGGGUGUGAGCAGACUUCUGUAGCUUUUAUGUACAAGGAAGACCAAAACAGGUCUUGUUCAUCUUCAUCUAGGAAUUGAAUGUUUGAUAUUUACAAAUAUUUUCUGAAUACACUGUAAAAUUCUACUCCUUAUAUUGUUUUACUUAUAUUUCUUAAUACAUAAUUCAUUUAUUCUUUCAAAAUCAUUUUAAUAGGGAAAUGCAAAUACUCACUCUCGUAUCGUUUAAAGUAUAUGUCAUGCUGCAAUUUUCAAUUGUAUAAAUUCAUUUAUUCUUUCAAAAUUAUUUUAAUAAGGAAAUUCAAAUACUCACUCUCGUAUCGUUUAAAGUAUACGUCAUGCUGCAAUUUUCAACUGUAUCUUCAUUGACAAUGAGGCAUUAACAAACACGAAGACUGAAUUCAUGGCUUUAUGGGAUGGUUUUACCACAGAUUGUAGGUUCAUUCCUUAAUGAGAUGAUUUCCUUAUUAGUAGCUUUCAUUCACCAAUCACCACUCAUUUGCUGCAAAAUUUUCUCAGCAAGUUAUGCAAUUUGAGAUGGUCAUGUCUCUUAGCUAGUUAAUGUGGUCUAGUGAGAAAGUUUUGUGACUUUAUUUACUGAGAUAAUGCCCAGGUUAUGGUACUUGCUGCUACUAAUAGGCCAUCUGAGCUUGAUGAAGCAAUUCUUCGACGCCUUCCUCAGUCCUUUGAGAUCAGUAUGCCUGACUGCAAAGAGAGCUGAGAUUUUGAAGGUUAUUCUGAGGGGCGAGAAGGUACAAGAUAACGUUGACGCAAUUCUUCGACGCCUUCCUGAGGCCUUUUGAGAUCAGUAUGCCUGACUGCAAAGAGAGAGCUGAGGUUUUGAAGGUUAUUCUGAGGGGCGAGAAGGUACAAGAUAACGUUGACUAUAACCGCAUUGUUGGAUUGUGUGAUGGAUACAUUGGUUCAGAUCUUCUUGAGCUCUGUUAAAAAGCUGCCUACUUUCCCAUCCGGGACCUGCUUGAUGAUGAGAAGAGUGGAAAGCAAUCUGCGGUUAUGUUCGUGGGACCAACCUACCAAUUCCUGAAAUGUUUCCUAACAUGUUUCCUUUAGCAUCGGGCCAGGUACUGUCAGCACUCCCUUUUCAGUUGUGUGAAUUCGAUGCUUUUAUCUCAAUAUGCCGUGAUGAUAAAAAUGGAAUGUCAAUCCUAUUGAGACAAGCUAAGAAAUAAAGUGCACAUAAACCUGGAUAGAGGAGCUUGUAGCAGAUAUCAAGUUUGAUAUCACAUGGUUUUUGUUGUGGAACUUUAGUGUUUCAUAUCUUAAGCAUGUUUAAUUGUUCCAUUCAUAGAAAAAGAAGUAAUCUUGUAUUUUUCAUUAACUAUCCUCUGGUUAGGAAAUGGAAAAGU